UACGUAGGUGGCAAGCGUUGUCCGGAUUUACUGGGCGUAAAGAGCGCGCAGGCGGUCGUUCAAGUCGCGUGUGAAAGCCCCCGGCUCAACUGGGGAGGGUCACGCGAUACUGAUCGACUCGAAGGCAGGAGAGGGUAGUGGAAUUCCCGGUGUAGUGGUGAAAUUCGUAGAUAUCGGGAGGAACACCAGUGGCGAAGGCGGCGAUCUGGGCAGACACUGACGCUGAGGUGCGAAAGCGUGGGGAGCAAACAGG
RNAcentral lists this ribosomal RNA (253 nucleotides) under uncultured bacterium. RNAcentral describes it as "partial 16S ribosomal RNA". It matches the Rfam family "Bacterial small subunit ribosomal RNA", at positions 524 to 776 of the family's 1533-position model. The record is from RNAcentral.